Non-coding RNA from Myotis davidii, 129 nucleotides. The record is from Rfam. Lineage: Eukaryota; Metazoa; Chordata; Mammalia; Chiroptera; Vespertilionidae.
CCACAUCCACUGACAGGCCUUGAACGAUCUGUUAUUUUUCUUCUGGUUUGCACUAGGAUGUGAGGGGAAAAAAUCCCUGUACUUUCUAUCUAUCUGUGUAGCGGCCCAAUUGAAUAAGGGAUUACAUCU